RNAcentral lists this ribosomal RNA (253 nucleotides) under uncultured bacterium. RNAcentral's name for it is "partial 16S ribosomal RNA". It matches the Rfam family "Bacterial small subunit ribosomal RNA", at positions 524 to 776 of the family's 1533-position model. The record is from RNAcentral.
UACGUAGGGGGCAAGCGUUGUCCGGAUUUAUUGGGCGUAAAGAGCGUGUAGGCGGCCAUGCAGGUCCGUUGUGAAAACUCGAGGCUCAACCUCGAGACGCCGGUGGAAACCGCAUGGCUAGAGUCCGGAAGAGGAGAGUGGAAUUCCUGGUGUAGCGGUGAAAUGCGCAGAUAUCAGGAGGAACACCGAUGGCGAAGGCAGGUCUCUGGGCAUUAACUGACGCUGAGGAGCGAAAGCAUGGGGAGCGAACAGG